UACGGAGGAUGCGAGCGUUAUCCGGAUUUAUUGGGUUUAAAGGGUGCGUAGGCGGACGCUUAAGUCAGCGGUAAAAUUGCGGGGCUCAACCUCGUCGAGCCGUUGAAACUGGGUGCCUUGAGUGGGCGAGAAGUACGCGGAAUGCGUGGUGUAGCGGUGAAAUGCAUAGAUAUCACGCAGAACUCCGAUUGCGAAGGCAGCGUACCGGCGCCCAACUGACGCUGAAGCACGAAGGCGUGGGGAGCAAACAGG
RNAcentral lists this ribosomal RNA (252 nucleotides) under uncultured bacterium. RNAcentral's name for it is "partial 16S ribosomal RNA". It matches the Rfam family "Bacterial small subunit ribosomal RNA", at positions 524 to 776 of the family's 1533-position model. The record is from RNAcentral.